RNAcentral lists this ribosomal RNA (1269 nucleotides) under Bacillus siamensis. RNAcentral describes it as "bacterial SSU rRNA". It matches the Rfam family "Bacterial small subunit ribosomal RNA", at positions 86 to 1340 of the family's 1533-position model. The record is from RNAcentral. Lineage: Bacteria; Bacillati; Bacillota; Bacilli; Caryophanales; Bacillaceae.
CUGAUGUUAGCGGCGGACGGGUGAGUAACACGUGGGUAACCUGCCUGUAAGACUGGGAUAACUCCGGGAAACCGGGGCUAAUACCGGAUGGUUGUUUGAACCGCAUGGUUCAGACAUAAAAGGUGGCUUCGGCUACCACUUACAGAUGGACCCGCGGCGCAUUAGCUAGUUGGUGAGGUAACGGCUCACCAAGGCGACGAUGCGUAGCCGACCUGAGAGGGUGAUCGGCCACACUGGGACUGAGACACGGCCCAGACUCCUACGGGAGGCAGCAGUAGGGAAUCUUCCGCAAUGGACGAAAGUCUGACGGAGCAACGCCGCGUGAGUGAUGAAGGUUUUCGGAUCGUAAAGCUCUGUUGUUAGGGAAGAACAAGUGCCGUUCAAAUAGGGCGGCACCUUGACGGUACCUAACCAGAAAGCCACGGCUAACUACGUGCCAGCAGCCGCGGUAAUACGUAGGUGGCAAGCGUUGUCCGGAAUUAUUGGGCGUAAAGGGCUCGCAGGCGGUUUCUUAAGUCUGAUGUGAAAGCCCCCGGCUCAACCGGGGAGGGUCAUUGGAAACUGGGGAACUUGAGUGCAGAAGAGGAGAGUGGAAUUCCACGUGUAGCGGUGAAAUGCGUAGAGAUGUGGAGGAACACCAGUGGCGAAGGCGACUCUCUGGUCUGUAACUGACGCUGAGGAGCGAAAGCGUGGGGAGCGAACAGGAUUAGAUACCCUGGUAGUCCACGCCGUAAACGAUGAGUGCUAAGUGUUAGGGGGUUUCCGCCCCUUAGUGCUGCAGCUAACGCAUUAAGCACUCCGCCUGGGGAGUACGGUCGCAAGACUGAAACUCAAAGGAAUUGACGGGGGCCCGCACAAGCGGUGGAGCAUGUGGUUUAAUUCGAAGCAACGCGAAGAACCUUACCAGGUCUUGACAUCCUCUGACAAUCCUAGAGAUAGGACGUCCCCUUCGGGGGCAGAGUGACAGGUGGUGCAUGGUUGUCGUCAGCUCGUGUCGUGAGAUGUUGGGUUAAGUCCCGCAACGAGCGCAACCCUUGAUCUUAGUUGCCAGCAUUCAGUUGGGCACUCUAAGGUGACUGCCGGUGACAAACCGGAGGAAGGUGGGGAUGACGUCAAAUCAUCAUGCCCCUUAUGACCUGGGCUACACACGUGCUACAAUGGGACAGAACAAAGGGCAGCGAAACCGCGAGGUUAAGCCAAUCCCACAAAUCUGUUCUCAGUUCGGAUCGCAGUCUGCAACUCGACUGCGUGAAGCUGGAAUCGCUAGUA